ACGACUAUACUUUCAGGAAUCACCUCUAUAGUCUGUUACGAGAAACUUGUGGCUAAAUGUAUACCCAAGAAGGAACUGUGCCAUAAGAAACAGU
This 94-nucleotide small nucleolar RNA is filed under the name Vombatus ursinus (common wombat). Its description in RNAcentral is "Small nucleolar RNA U3 (ENSVURG00010016377.1)". The record is from Rfam by way of RNAcentral. Lineage: Eukaryota; Metazoa; Chordata; Mammalia; Diprotodontia; Vombatidae.